UGGGGAAUUUUCCGCAAUGGGCGAAAGCCUGACGGAGCAAUACCGCGUGAGGGAGGAAGGCCUUUGGGUUGUAAACCUCUUUUCUUAAGGAAGAAGUUCUGACGGUACUUAAGGAAUAAGCAUCGGCUAACUCCGUGCCAGCAGCCGCGGUAAUACGGAGGAUGCAAGCGUUAUCCGGAAUCAUUGGGCGUAAAGCGUCCGCAGGUGGCACUUCAAGUCUGCUGUCAAAGAUCGGGGCUUAACCCCGGGCAGGCGGUGGAAACUGAAGAGCUAGAGUUCGGUAGGGGUAGUGGGAAUUCCCAGUGUAGCGGUGAAAUGCGUAGAGAUUGGGAAGAACAUCGGUGGCGAAAGCGCACUACUGGGCCGAGACUGACACUCAGGGACGAAAGCUAGGGGAGCGAAAGGG
This 406-nucleotide ribosomal RNA is filed under the name uncultured Chroococcales cyanobacterium. RNAcentral's name for it is "bacterial SSU rRNA". It matches the Rfam family "Bacterial small subunit ribosomal RNA", at positions 355 to 776 of the family's 1533-position model. Lineage: Bacteria; Bacillati; Cyanobacteriota; Cyanophyceae; Chroococcales. The record is from RNAcentral.